This 58-nucleotide microRNA precursor is filed under the name Mus musculus (house mouse). RNAcentral's name for it is "Mmu-Mir-205-P4_pre stem-loop". It matches the Rfam family "mir-205 microRNA precursor family", at positions 9 to 68 of the family's 75-position model. RNAcentral also lists the same sequence under 1 other name. The record is from RNAcentral. Lineage: Eukaryota; Metazoa; Chordata; Mammalia; Rodentia; Muridae.
UCCUUCAUUCCACCGGAGUCUGUCUUAUGCCAACCAGAUUUCAGUGGAGUGAAGCUCA